GCGGUUCGGUUUAGUAUAAAACUGGUAAUUUUAAAACCGUUUAUAAACUGCUAAACCGGCUGAGAACUUGCCGGUUGGACCGAAUCGGUACCCCACCAGUCUCUCCCCUUUCAAGCUUUCCCUCAGGCAGAGCUCUUCCCAUUCUUCCUUGAAAACCCUAGCCUCCAUUGCGCCGCCAUUGGUCUCACCGCCGCCGCCUGGUUUGUCGUGGUCGUUCGCCAAAUCUCCUAGUUCGUCGUGCUCGAAGGCCUUCCCGUUCGCCUAACGCCAACGUCUCCAGGUCUUGCUCCAACGUUGUCCGUCCGUCGUGUUCGUCGCCAGAUCGCCAGCGUUCGUCGCCAGCUCCCCGUCGUCCGUCUCCAUCUCACCAGGGUUCGUUGCCAGCUUCCCGUCGUCCGUCGCCCGUCGCUCUCCCUCAAAUCUAUGGUCACUGCCCUCGCCGAAGGUGCAUUGAUUCUGGUCAAGGUUGGCAUGUACUUGGUUCUAUGAGUUUCAGUUCUUGGAGGUAGUGUCACAUGGCCGCAUAUGAUGAGAGAAAAGUUUGGGGAUGGUUGUUCGUGUCAAUUGGCUUUCUUUACUUUACCGUGUACUUCUUUAUCGCAAUUAUUUCCAAGGUUUUGCCUCCGUCAAAUAUUGCAGUGAUAUCUGCCAUGCAAAAUGAUUGGUAUUACUGCUUCUUAGUGCCGUUGACUCUCCCUAUAAUUGUGGUUCUUGUAUACUUCCAUUGGCUUAGCAUGAAGAUGUUCAAGCAUGCUUAACUUUUCGCCAGAUUUCUGCGGUGGAAUGAAAUGCUGGCCCAGCGGAGCAACAUGC
This is a non-coding RNA of Arachis ipaensis, 813 nucleotides long. The record is from RefSeq and is a predicted model, not a curated record. Lineage: Eukaryota; Viridiplantae; Streptophyta; Magnoliopsida; Fabales; Fabaceae.